Molecule: non-coding RNA, 24 nt
Filed under: Arabidopsis thaliana (thale cress)
Lineage: Eukaryota; Viridiplantae; Streptophyta; Magnoliopsida; Brassicales; Brassicaceae
Source: RNAcentral
UCAAAUCUCGACUCGGUUAUCUGC